This 492-nucleotide ribosomal RNA is filed under the name Veillonella sp. oral clone R53. RNAcentral's name for it is "bacterial SSU rRNA". It matches the Rfam family "Bacterial small subunit ribosomal RNA", at positions 28 to 489 of the family's 1533-position model. The record is from RNAcentral. Lineage: Bacteria; Bacillati; Bacillota; Negativicutes; Veillonellales; Veillonellaceae.
GACGAACGCUGGCGGCGUGCUUAACACAUGCAAGUCGAACGAAGAGCGAUGGAAGCUUGCUUCUAUCAAUCUUAGUGGCGAACGGGUGAGUAACGCGUAAUCAACCUGCCCUUCAGAGGGGGACAACAGUUGGAAACGACUGCUAAUACCGCAUACGAUCUGACCUCGGCAUCGAGGAUGGAUGAAAGGUGGCCUCUAUUUAUAAGCUAUCACUGAAGGAGGGGAUUGCGUCUGAUUAGCUAGUUGGAGGGGUAACGGCCCACCAAGGCGAUGAUCAGUAGCCGGUCUGAGAGGAUGAACGGCCACAUUGGGACUGAGACACGGCCCAGACUCCUACGGGAGGCAGCAGUGGGGAAUCUUCCGCAAUGGACGAAAGUCUGACGGAGCAACGCCGCGUGAGUGAUGACGGCCUUCGGGUUGUAAAGCUCUGUUAAUCGGGACGAAAGGCCUUCUUGCGAAUAGUUAGAAGGAUUGACGGUACCGGAAUAGAAA